This 241-nucleotide ribosomal RNA is filed under the name uncultured bacterium. RNAcentral's name for it is "partial 16S ribosomal RNA". It matches the Rfam family "Bacterial small subunit ribosomal RNA", at positions 29 to 266 of the family's 1533-position model. The record is from RNAcentral.
GUGAACGCUGGCGGUAGGCCUAACACAUGCAAGUCGAACGGCAGCACAGAGGAGCUUGCUCCUUGGGUGGCGAGUGGCGGACGGGUGAGGAAUACAUCGGAAUCUACUCUGUCGUGGGGGAUAACGUAGGGAAACUUACGCUAAUACCGCAUACGACCUACGGGUGAAAGCAGGGGAUCUUCGGACCUUGCGCGAUUGAAUGAGCCGAUGUCGGAUUAGCUAGUUGGCGGGGUAAAGGCCC